This is a long non-coding RNA of Scophthalmus maximus (turbot), 754 nucleotides long. RefSeq lists it as uncharacterized. The transcript has 3 exons. Lineage: Eukaryota; Metazoa; Chordata; Actinopteri; Pleuronectiformes; Scophthalmidae. The record is from RefSeq and is a predicted model, not a curated record.
CCAGGAUGGACCGUAUCAGGAGACUCUCCGCUCUCUGGAGAAGGAUGUCGUCUAUGGUCCUGCCGUCCGUGUCCUCCUCGGCGGGGAUGCCCUGUCCUCCGCACACCGCCAAGUUGAAGAGCACGAGAGAAGCCAAGAUGAGGAGGCACGUCGACUUCAUGGCAAUUGUGGUGAACAGGAAGCUUCUGCAAAGAACAGCUACAUCCAGUGUGUGUAUUCUGAUGGAUGCUGCUGUGUCACGAAGACAUUAGAUCACUGGACAGCCCUGUCAUUGUCUUGCUGCCUUGCCACCCUGCCAACCAAAUGCCUGCCUGCUGCCAUACUGACGGAGCUGAGGAACAGUGAGACUGACAGUCAGGAUGACUCACCAGCCCCAAACGACUUCUUUAAAGACACCCCUACACGAUCAACAUCCGCAACACAUCCAAAACAGGAACAGGACCAAAUCUGGAGAACUGAAAGUAUGUUGUAAGAUUUUGAUUUCAAUUUUUCAAUUCUAUCCAUCAUGUACACAUAAUACCACAAAACAGCAAUGACAAGAUAAAAACUCCAAUCACCCAAAACAAUUUAAAGUGCUAUUGUCAUUUUUCUCCCCAUGUGGUUUCUAAGAAGACUGAUUUAUCAUUUUUCUUAAAGCUAUUGCUUUUCCAUGCCUACAUAAAAAUCUAUUUUCCCCUCCAGAACUUUAGAGACAGGAAUUGCAUAUACAGUAAUUUGUGGCUGUAGGGAAGGGUAUCAAGGACAUUUGAGUCAC